AAAGGGGAAGAGUUUUAUUGCUUGGUGUAUUUGGAAUAAUGCAACAUGACUAUCACAGGGAUUUGUUGUUAUUAUUUAUUACACUUAUUAGUGCUUUGUGUUAUAGAACUUUACAGAGCUGUAAAUAAUUCAUAGCGAGAAAAAGUGGGGAAAGACAUUGGUGCAUGUCAGGACAGAAAAUUUCCAGUUCAGUUAUGAUGCAGCAGUGAUCAUGUUCACCUUUCAAGUGAAGUGUCAGUGAGUUUUGGAGUUCGGAUAUCUCCUUGUCAAAAUUGAUGAAGUCAAGAUUCUUACACAACUUCUACUUGUAGAUUACAAUUUUAGCAUCACAUAGUGUCAUAAUGAAGUGAUCAGCUCAUUGUGAAGCGGUUAAGUCAAUUUAACAAGAAAGGUCCUCAGAAAUAGGUGAGAGUGCUGAAACCAAAGCCAUCUAAAAUGAUGCUAUGUAGAGAAUAUUUUCUGUUGUACUUGUCAUGCUCAUAAAGUGAGAUCUCUAACAAGAGAAUUUACGAUUUGAACUCAUUGAGCAUUCUUUGCUUCUUGUAAUAUGCAUUACUACGAAAUUUGGAGUCGUUGCACCAGAUGUCAAAUUGUCAAUUAACUAUCAGUUGCACCAUUCGAAAACUAUUGUGGCAAUUUUAAUGUGUUAUUUUGUAAACAGCAAGUAUACUUUCAAUGCCGAUCAAUUGAUUGGUGGAUGUAUCAAGACGUGGCAGUGACUAUAUUGAAAGAGACACUAUAAUCUGUGUUUAAAUAGAGUUCUUCUGUUGAAAAUUGAAACAACUAAGUGACUCCUUGGGCCACUCUCAGCCACUAUGCCCAGUCUUAUCUUAUUUUUCACUUUUAUUUGUCCACGAUCUGCUAUGCUAUUACCUGCUAGCAUCACUGUCUUGUGAUUCGUGUCAUGAUAGGCGUGGCAGGGUCGCCAUGGAGUUUUCCUUUGGCAUGGGCAUCUUGAUUUAACGUUGUAUAGGUU
Molecule: long non-coding RNA, 976 nt
Filed under: Olea europaea (common olive)
Lineage: Eukaryota; Viridiplantae; Streptophyta; Magnoliopsida; Lamiales; Oleaceae
Description: long non-coding RNA (OEUR_LNC012506)
Source: RNAcentral